This 254-nucleotide ribosomal RNA is filed under the name uncultured bacterium. Its description in RNAcentral is "partial 16S ribosomal RNA". It matches the Rfam family "Bacterial small subunit ribosomal RNA", at positions 524 to 776 of the family's 1533-position model. The record is from RNAcentral.
UACGAAGGGGGCUAGCGUUGCUCGGAAUGACUGGGCGUAAAGAGCUCGUAGGCGGUUCGGUAAGUCGGGUGUGAAAACUCUGGGCUCAACCCAGAGAGGCCACCCGAUACUGCUGUGACUAGAGUGCGGUAGGGGAGCGGGGAAUUCCUGGUGUAGCGGUGAAAUGCGCAGAUAUCAGGAGGAACACCAAUGGCGAAGGCAGCUCGCUGGGACGUGACUGACGCUGAGACGCGAAAGCGUGGGGAGCAAACAGG